AUUGAACGCUGGCGGCAGGCCUAACACAUGCAAGUCGAGCGCGCGACGGACGGGUGAGUCAUGUAUGGGGACUGACCGAUAGGGGGGGAUAAAUACUGGAAAAGGUGGCUAAUACCGCAUACUUGCGGAUAACCACUAUGGGAUUAGCGAGUAGGUAAGGUAAUGGCUUAACUGGGCGACGAUCCCUAGCUGGUCUGAGAGGAUGAUCAGCCACACUGGGACUGAGAGACGGCCCAGACUCCUACGGAGGCAGCAGUGGGGAAUAUUGCACAAUGGGCGCAAGCCUGAUGCAGCCAUGCCGCGUGUAUGAAGAAGGCCCUAGGGUUGUAAAGUACUUUCAGUCGGGAGGCGUUACCGACAGAAGAAGCACCGGCUAACUCCGUGCCAGCAGCCGCGGUAAUUC
RNAcentral lists this ribosomal RNA (403 nucleotides) under uncultured bacterium. Its description in RNAcentral is "partial 16S ribosomal RNA". It matches the Rfam family "Bacterial small subunit ribosomal RNA", at positions 30 to 526 of the family's 1533-position model. The record is from RNAcentral.